Molecule: long non-coding RNA, 591 nt
Filed under: Physcomitrium patens
Lineage: Eukaryota; Viridiplantae; Streptophyta; Bryopsida; Funariales; Funariaceae
Description: long non-coding RNA (PPAT_LNC009017)
Source: RNAcentral
AAUUAUUUUUAUAUUUUUUUAAAGAUUUUAUUGUUAUUUUUCUUUGAGAUUAAUUUAUGACUUCUUUGUAUUUUAUUUUUGUAAAUUUUUUUAAAUUUAUUUUGGAUUGUUUAAAAUUUGAUUAGGAUUAUAAAGGAUUAUUGAAAGUUUAUUUAAGACUCUGUUAGACUAUGUAGGAUUGUUCUUGCUUUUUUACUUAUCUUCCACAGAUAGGUGCUUGGUACAUUCUCAAGUAGAAACACACAUAAUACAAUAGUACUCUUUUAAAGAAAAAACAUGUAAUAUCUAAUGUAUUCACACACAAAUAGAGAGGCAUAUUGUUAUCAUCAUUCAAACUAAAGGAAAAAAACACAUUGGAUAUAUAUUAAAAAAAAAAUAAAAAAAUAAAAAAAAUCAAAUAAAAGCUGAGCUUACUUGGUUAAUAUGACAUACAAUAAUUGCAAUUAACUCGUGGAGAAGGAGAAUCUAUAAUGAUAUAGACUAAAGUUGCCCAAUUUGUAUAAUAGAAAUAAGAGAGUUAUUGCUCUAUCAAUUUUGAGAGUAUAGAUUAACAACAAUAAUGUGAAGGUGAGGAGUCUACAUUUUUCAACU